UACGUAGGGGGCAAGCGUUGUCCGGAAUUAUUGGGCGUAAAGAGCGUGUAGGCGGUCCGGUAAGUCGGUUGUGAAAGUCCAGGGCUCAACCCUGGGAUGCCGAUCGAUACUGCCGGACUAGAGUCCGGAAGAGGCGAGUGGAAUUCCCGGUGUAGCGGUGAAAUGCGCAGAUAUCGGGAGGAACACCAAUGGCGAAGGCAGCUCGCUGGGACGGUACUGACGCUGAGGCGCGAAAGCCAGGGGAGCAAACGGG
Molecule: ribosomal RNA, 253 nt
Filed under: uncultured bacterium
Lineage: Bacteria
Description: partial 16S ribosomal RNA
Rfam family: Bacterial small subunit ribosomal RNA
Source: RNAcentral